UACGGGGGGGGCAAGCGUUGUUCGGAAUUACUGGGCGUAAAGGGCUCGUAGGCGGCCAACUAAGUCAGACGUGAAAUCCCUCGGCUUAACCGGGGAACUGCGUCUGAUACUGGAUGGCUUGAGUGUGGGAGAGGGAUGCGAAAUUCCAGGUGUAGCGGUGAAAUGCGUAGAUAUCUGGAGGAACACCGGUGGCGAAGGCGGCAUCCUGGACUACUACUGACGCUGAGUGAGCGAAAGCCAGGGGAGCAAACGGG
RNAcentral lists this ribosomal RNA (254 nucleotides) under uncultured bacterium. RNAcentral's name for it is "partial 16S ribosomal RNA". It matches the Rfam family "Bacterial small subunit ribosomal RNA", at positions 524 to 776 of the family's 1533-position model. The record is from RNAcentral.